GGUCCCGUAGCUCAGCAGGAUAGAGCGGCAGUUUCCUAAACUGUAGGUCACAGGUUCGAAUCCUGUCGGGAUCGCCA
Molecule: transfer RNA, 77 nt
Filed under: Methylobacterium sp.
Lineage: Bacteria; Pseudomonadati; Pseudomonadota; Alphaproteobacteria; Hyphomicrobiales; Methylobacteriaceae
Also listed under: 1 other name
Description: tRNA-Arg
Rfam family: tRNA
About the family: Transfer RNA (tRNA) molecules are approximately 80 nucleotides in length. Their secondary structure includes four short double-helical elements and three loops (D, anti-codon, and T loops). Further hydrogen bonds mediate the characteristic L-shaped molecular structure. tRNAs have two regions of fundamental functional importance: the anti-codon, which is responsible for specific mRNA codon recognition, and the 3' end, to which the tRNAs corresponding amino acid is attached (by aminoacyl-tRNA synthetases). tRNAs cope with the degeneracy of the genetic code in two manners: having more than one tRNA (with a specific anti-codon) for a particular amino acid; and 'wobble' base-pairing, i.e. permitting non-standard base-pairing at the 3rd anti-codon position.
Source: RNAcentral